Molecule: ribosomal RNA, 492 nt
Filed under: uncultured bacterium
Lineage: Bacteria
Description: bacterial SSU rRNA
Rfam family: Bacterial small subunit ribosomal RNA
Source: RNAcentral
AAAGGAAUAGACGGGGGCCCGCACAAGCAGUGGAGUAUGUGGUUUAAUUCGAAGCAACGCGAAGAACCUUACCAGGGCUUGACAUCCUACUAACGAAGCAGAGAUGCAUAAGGUGCCCUUCGGGGAAAGUAGAGACAGGUGGUGCAUGGUUGUCGUCAGCUCGUGUCGUGAGAUGUUGGGUUAAGUCCCGCAACGAGCGCAACCCUUACGGUUAGUUGCUACGCAAGAGCACUCUAGCCGGACUGCCGUUGACAAAACGGAGGAAGGUGGGGACGACGUCAAAUCAUCAUGCCCCUUAUGUCCUGGGCUACACACGUACUACAAUGGCGGCCACACAGAGGGAAGCAAAGCAGCGAUGCGGAGCAAAUCCCUAAAAGCCGCCCCAGUUCAGAUUGCAGGCUGAAACUCGCCUGCAUGAAGGCGGAAUUGCUAGUAAUCGCGGAUCAGCAUGCCGCGGUGAAUACGUUCCCGGGCCUUGUACACACCGCCCGU